UGUAGGCGCAGCGAAAGCGAGUCUUAAUAGGGCGCAUGAGUUAGAUGGAUCAGACCCGAAACCGAGUGAUCUAGGCAUGACCAGGAUGAAGGUGCGGUAACACGCACUGGAGGUCCGAACCCACACCUGUUGAAAAAGGUCGGGAUGAGUUGUGCCUAGGGGUGAAAGGCCAAUCAAACUCGGAGAUAGCUGGUUCUCUGCGAAAUCUAUUUAGGUAGAGCGUCGACCGAAUACCCUCGGGGGUAGAGCACUGGAUGGGCUAUGGGGGCUUACCGCCUUACUGAUCCUAACCAAACUCCGAAUACCGAGAAGUACUAUCCGGCAGACACACAGUGGGUGCUAACGUCCAUUGUGAAGAGGGAAACAACCCUGACCGCCGAUUAAGGUCCCCAAGUUAUGGCUAAGUGGGAAAGGAAGUGGAAAUCCCAAAACAACCAGGAUGUUGGCUUAGAAGCAGCCAUCAUUUAAAGAAAGCGUAACAGCUCACUGGUCUA
RNAcentral lists this ribosomal RNA (494 nucleotides) under Pseudo-nitzschia fraudulenta. RNAcentral describes it as "partial Bacterial large subunit ribosomal RNA". It matches the Rfam family "Bacterial large subunit ribosomal RNA", at positions 661 to 1152 of the family's 2925-position model. Lineage: Eukaryota; Bacillariophyta; Bacillariophyceae; Bacillariales; Bacillariaceae. The record is from RNAcentral.